UGUGGCCAAAGGUUCAAAACCAUCAAAACCCAGGGGUCUGCGGUUCAUAGGUCAAGGAUUAUAGGUCAGCGAUAAACAGUCAUAGGUUAUAGGGUUGUAUGUCAAGUGUCAGAGGUCAGAGUUAAUAAGGCAAAUGUCAUAGUCCAUAGGACAGACGUCAUGGGUCACAGAUUAAGGAUUAAAAGGUCAAAGAUCAUACAUCAGGGGACCGUCUCUUGGUUUGCACAUUCUGGCCACGCUUGGUGCAGAUAGCACUUCCCCCUCCCUGUCCCCAAGUGGGUGGUUUUUUAACACAUUAUUAACAUGAUAAAAUAAGGUUUUGAAAGCAGUAAUUUUUGUCACAUGAACAGCUGGAGCAGGACCUUCUAAUAAGAAAAAAUUGUCGAAUACUUUGGGACAAAAAUUGAGAGAUUUUAAACCUUACAUGCUAACAACCAUUCUGGAACAGAAAAGCAGUCAUUGGCUUUCCCCAGGCAGGCUGUUAAAAUAUCAGGCUAUGCUUUUAGAACAAGAGGAUUUAGAAUUGAAAGUGACCAACCUUUUGAACUCAGCAGUGUUCAUGACAACCGAUUCAGAGGCAGGGGAGUAGCUCACAACUAUUUAUAGACUGCCAAGCAGGUGUAUUCCAGUCAUACCGACCCACAAGACACAUCCCUGAAGGAUGUGAACUGUUUGUGGAUGAGUGCUGACACCUUCCCAUAGUUUUGGGUGACCCUUCUCUUUUCAAACGCAAAAUUCAGAGGUCAGUUACUACAGUUGCAAGUUUUCAUCCUCCCUUCCAGGGAUUUGCUUUUGAAACCCCUUAUCAGGGUCACACUCACAGCACAACAGAAGCCCUUAAGGCUCAUGGUUACUUCUUCCUUUUGCUCACCUCUGCCCAGGUCUCAGAAUUCCCAGCAGUGCUCCCCCUGGUCCCCCAGACUGAGUGCUGUGGAAAAUAAUGACUAGUAAUAAGCCACGUUGUAAGAUGCUGUGCAUGAUGAAGCAGAUGCUAAGGAGAUUAGAUUAGAGGACUGGUUUUGGUGAAGUGACUAUAGAUUUUUUCCACUUCUUCUGUAAUGGAACGCCUUGAGACAGGUGCUGACAAAAAAUGUCCCAUUGCUAAUGCUUCCCCUUGGUUGAUAGUCCUAUGCAAUCUGGAGCUAGGCCAGAGUAUCAGGUUGCACUCCAACAUGAAAAGCUAGAAGUCUGAUCUGGAAAGAAUUGGAACUGCCCAUGGAAUGCUGUUAGACACACGAUCGAAUAGUGGUUUGCUGAGGAGAGGAUGACCAGGCCUCAGUGUUAUCUGAGAUCAGUAUAGAGAAAACAAAAUUUGCAGCCAUGGCAGCGACUGCUGUCCCUUAAAUGUUGCCCUUUACAGGGCUUGGCACCCUGAACUGUAAUAGAGACUGUUAGUCUUUCUUGUGGCCAGUGAACAGGGCUGAAGGAACUGAAAGACCUUGCAGAAACUGGGGAAUGGCUGCUUGUUUUGCUGCAUGUGGAUAUAUGUGAUUGCACAUAUAUCUGCGCACACGUGCCUUGUGCAUGUGCUCUGUUACUUUCUGCCACAGUCAUUUCAGUGUUGUGAUAGUUCCAUGUGCCAAGUAAGAAGGAUACAAAAAAGUUGCCCAGCAGUUAUGUCAGACAACUCAGGGCUCUUGGCUACUAGCCCACACAAAGUCAUUAUCUUCAGCUGUUUUCAAAUAAGCUUUGUAGAUUAGAACUAAUGUCCAAGAUAAGUAACUAAGAACAUAACUAGAUUUUAAUAUUUAGAAUUUGUAUGCUCCUUUACUGGCUAAAAUACUGUAAUUUCAUAUGCCAUUAGGCUAUGAAACUUCAUCUGAGCAGAGAUUAUUAAUGUUCACUCAUCCCAUUUUAGAAUUCACAUCUGUUGUUUUAACUAUAUAAAAUCUUUCUGCACCUAAGGCACUUCUUUAAAUCUUUGUUUCAUACGUUCUGGUGGCUUACUUUGCUUUUAGAUUAGCUCCUUUAUUAGACUGUGUUUUCUCAAGGUCUGAAAUGAGAUGAAUCUAUAAAAAUCUUAUUUUCAGAUGAGGAUUUCCCAGCUCAUGCUUCAGCUCACAAAUGCUCAUGGGCACACCUAUGCAUGUUACAUGGGCAAACAGUACUGGUCACACAAAGACACAUGCACCCUCCUGUCAGUCUGUAAGAUCUAGUGAAUGUUGACCAAAUUUGCCAUAUUAUUCUGUUUAUUCCAUCACACUCAGGUGAUGUAAUUUAGCUUUCUUUUCCUACCUGCCAAACUCUCACACCUCCUCAUUCCCCCAGAUACUCUAACUUGAUGAUAAAACACUUUUGGAAGAAGUUGCAUUGUUUUCUGCAAUGCUUGUUAUUUCAGAUGCAAAAGUCAUCAACAGUGCUAUCCGGGAAGACCACUUCACAGAACCCAGUAACAUAUCCCAGAUACUGUGGAGUAGGAACCUACUUCUUUAUAUGAUCCUGGCUUUUUAAAGAAACCUCAUAUCAAACUAAAGCCACAUUCACUGCCUGUCACCCCAGUUUUGGCAGAAGAGUGUUAAGGGCCUUUAAGCCUCAGUAGUCCCAGAGAUUCAAUAGCUUGCCUGAUGACUGCUGGAGAGCCUGUGGCAGAGGAAAGACUGGAGUCCAGUUGUUAGUCCCUGCUCUGACUGUUCCGCUAAUGUGAAUGAAAAGACACUUGAGGAACUACAACAGUUCAAAAAAUAAAGCAAACUUAAAAAUUAUGUCUGAAGGAAACAAAUCUGAAGUAAGAAAAUCUGACAGUGAAGCACUUACCAUCUGCAGCUGUAGUGCACAAUUGAUUUUAAGGGCUCUGGAUUGCAAUGUGCUGCGUUGCUUGGCAUGUGACACACUGGCACAUCACAUCGAGUGUGCUACCAGUCUUUUUGCAUGUGUACUUGCCUUCUGGUAAUAAUCAUGUUUCACACAGUAAGUGAAAAAGACCAAUAAAUGGCUCGUCUUUUGUGAGUCUGUUGAUGUGGUUUGCUCUUGCUUUGGCACUGCACAUCCAUGUUUCUUGUGUCAUGUUGAAGUACAGCAGAACACUCGGGAGUAUAUGUCUUUAAGAGAACAAAGCCUAUCAGAUGCAAAUUUGGACGCAGGCAUAUGCAUCUUUGAAUCAGAGUUCAAGUGGACUCAUAUGUAUUUCAGUGAUGUGGUCAUUACCACUGCUUUGACUGGUGGUGUGAAGCUGCAGGUUAAGCCAGCGCUUUUACAAACAGUAUUUGUGAGCUCUGCUUUGACACUGCCACUCAGUAUAGUAAGUUUUAAACAUGCAUGCUGAUUGAUCCAAGUUGUCUUGUUGGCAGCAACCUCGAACCUUGAAUCUUGUUCUCUUCAUUCAUUAGAGGAUUAAUUUUGGACUGCAAAUGACAGCAAGCGGGGGUGAGCUACAGAAGAUGCCAGACACCACUUGCUGGCACAGGGAACUUACAGUGUACAGCAAUGCCCUAUCCCUGCUUGUUAUGUGGCCCAUACGCCAAAUGUUUGUCUGAUACAAAUCUGCAAAAUUCCAAAACACUGUGUUAAUUUAUGUACUUCAUUACAAGCAUAUUUAUCCUUAUGUUAUUUUUACUUCAGCUUACCCAUCCAUCUGCAGCAAAGGUGCAGAUGAAAGAAAGCUUCAGUCACCACAACAGCAGUAGCUACCCCUCUGUCUAGGACAUGGUGAACAGCAUGCUAAUGUCAGGCAGAGUCACGGAUUGCUAGUGAGGGGUGAAUAAAUAGUGCAGUUAUUUCCUGGGGAAUGACAAUACUACAGGGAUGUGACGUAAUACAGCCAACAACACUGGCAGUCUGGCUUCUGUCUCUCCUGGAAAACUUCACUGUCCUUAAGGGGCUGAUAUAUAUAAUAAUGAAGAGGGCAGUUCUGCCCAUGGUUCAACUGACUUAUUCUAUGUUUACAGGGUUUUCAAUUCUGACAAAGCUAAUAACCUCACUUUUAAUAAUUAAUCUCUCCUAUACUGUAAAAUAAGUUGUAAAAUGCAGAGUGUCACAGUACUGUAGGUACUUAGUUGUCAUUGUCUUGUCUGCAGUGAUUUGACCCUUAUCAAUAAAAUGACAAAGGGCUCACUAUAAAACCCUGGCAGCUGGAAUAUCUGACUGUAACUGUAUGCCUUGAUAAAGCCCUAGCAAUUGCUUGCUGUACUAAUACCUGAUUGAAGCCAGUUCUACAAUGGCAGCUCUAUGCUUUUGCUUACAAGGUCUUUCUAAGGCUACUUGAGGAAGGAAACUGAAGCUUACAAAUACUCUUUUUGGGCCCAGUAGUCUAGUUGCAAGUCUAGAUUUGGAAAGAUUUGCCUUGUCUUGACAGGGUUUUUUUAAAGCUUUCUUGUGUAUUUGAGGCUGGGGAAGGGUGUCUAGUUACCAGUUUCAGACACAUGGGUCUUUUAUCCACAUACCAGCUACAGAAUGAAGAGCGCAGCCUUGAAAUCGGCAGGCUUUGGCCUUCCUACCUUAAAAAGUUACACCAUUUUUUGUGUAGUGGCAUAUGGCAUGCUCUGAGGCUGCAAUUUGAACAAAAAAAAGGUAGCAGAAAUAUUGCUAUUCUUCACUCCAAAGCAUAAAGCAGUUCUGAGAGGUGGAGCAUACUGCAGGAGUGAAAAAAUAUAAAGACAGAAAAGUCUAACACAGCGAGGGCAUUCUUCCAUUUCAAACUUCUUCUGAUUAAGGCGCAUUCAAGAUGUAGCAUUUCCAUUCCAUGCUUUACUGAAAAUGGAAGGAAUAAAUUCUGUCCUGUGAGUAACAGACUGGCUGAUUGUUUAGAGCAUUGCUUUCAAAAAAUAAAGAUCUAAUAUGGAAAAGCAGUAGCAUGUGCUCUUGUCCUUUUGGGUCUCACUGCAGGAUCCAGGUGAUACAGACUGGUAAAAUGACUUUGGGGACUGUUCUUUUGAAGACAGCAACAGGACCUUGUGUGCCAGUGUGACUUUUGAAACACACUAUGCCAUUUGCAAACUAGACACUUUUCAGAAAUCCAGAAAGUGCCAUACAAGCAGAUAUUUAUGUGCUCACUGUGCAGGAAAGCAGAGCUUUCUAUCAUUUGGUCAAGGAGGAAGUGGCUUCUUCAGUACUGGAAAUAACUGAAAGUUCUGAACAUAAGGGUACUGUGGCAGUUUGUAGGAUGCUAUCUCCCAUGAACUGAGCUGGCCUGGAAAGAAUGUUUAAUGUGCCUGACAAGAAGCUCUGCUCAGUUAUCCUGAACUUCAGGGUGAGCUGAGCCUCCUAGCAGCUGCUACUGUCAUUUAUUGGUAGGCCCUACCAAAGCCAGUGGAAAACAGUGCCACCCUGACGAGUUGCUUGGAGUAGUGAAAGGCAGAGAAACAUCUCCAGUGCAGUGGGGCUGCCUGGAGUACAAUUCAUAUGACAUAUCUGUGACAGCAGUGGACUCCUUUUACUGCCUCUAUGAGACCAUGUGCAUCUGGGUGAAUGACUCUGCUCUUCAUAUUGUAUACAAUAGUGUUUCUGUGAUGAAAUUUGGCAGUGUUGAGGUCACAGGGCACUCCAUUUGUCUGUUCUCAUAUCAUACAGAGAAUAACCUAUUGCUGUUUGUUUAGCUAACACAAUGGAGCUCCAGUCUGUGAUAGAGUUUCUCUUGUGCUCUCAUCAUGCAAAUAAGUAAACAGUGAUAUUAAAAAGAGGGGGGGACAAAUGUGUUGUCUUGAGUAGAGCAGGUUGGAUAUUCCAGCAUGUUUCAAGCUGUAUGAAGCACCCUGUGGGAUUUGGCCUUGCAUGUUUCAGUGUUAAUUUUUUUUUUUUUUAGCUUUGGAGGGAAGAUAAGAAGCUUUCACUGCUACACCAAAGCAUCCAUAUCAUAUAUUUAUAUAUUCUACAGGACUACAGAUUUCAGGCGACUGCCAAGCAUUUUCUCAUUCAGGGAAGUACAGCAGGGAUUUCUGUAAAUAUUCCAUUAAGAGAUCAGUUUGCUGUAGGAGCCUUGUAGAAUUCUGCCUGCAGGACAGACUAACUUUAAGCAUUUUGUGUAUGUGGCAACCUGCUCUAAUUAAGGUAUCACCUGUUCAUGGCAACAGUGUUAGCAAAGGUAAAUCCAGGCAUGGCUUCUGUUGGGGUUCUGAGAAGAGUGAAUUGACUGUCUUGGGUUUUAGUGGAAAAUGGAAGGGUCUCUAAAUGGUGCUUCUGUCUUAGGAAUUAAAGCCUGUUUGGUAAAAGGAAUAAGCUUGACCCUUAUGAGUAACAUGAGUGGUGAUAUAACUACAUUAAUGCUAGGUGUUGUGUAAAUAUUUCAAUUUAGGAAAAUGGUACUGCUAACUUACAUUAUGUAACUUAGCAUUAUUCAGGGGUUUCUAAGAACUGAGAGAUGGAAUCCAGGUCACACUGUCCCUGGGUAUCUUUCCAAUUUGACACUAGUAAUACAUUUAAUCCCUCAAGCAUUACAGACCUUAAGAUGAAGCUGUCCAUGUGAGAAGUAAUUGCAGUGACCCACAGGUUUUACAAAAACAUGGAAGGUAGUAUGACAGCCCUCCACUUCCUUCUUUCCACUCAAAAUAUUUCAGAAAGGUAGAAACUAUACUUGGCUUGAAUUUUACUGAGUAGCUUCCUUGCAUUACAGUUUAUUGCAUCUGGGUUUUUCUAAGACACCACUAUCAGAAGUGUCUCUGUGUAAACCAACUGCAGAAUAAGCCGUUAUCUUUACUGUGCUACAGAAUUAAGUUAUGGAGCCCAUGUCAAAGAGAAUGAAAGACCUACAGAGUGGAGUAAAUCAUCACUCUGAUAUAAUUCACAGCAAAAUACACCCAAAAGAACUUAAUUAUUUGUAUGCCACUGGUUAAUAUGCUGGUGUAAAUAGGUGUUUCCUGAAAUGAGGUUGUGGUAAGGUGUCAGUCUCUUUUACCAAGUAACAAGCAAUAGGGCAAGAGGAAAUGGGCUCAAGUUGUGCCAGAGAAAAUUUGGAUUGGAUAUCAGGAAAAAUUUCAUCAUUGAAGCAUCACUCAAGCACUGGAACAGGCUGCCCAGGGAAGUGGUGGAGUCACCAUCCCUGAAGUUAUUUAAAAGACAUGUAGUUGUGAUGCUUAGAGACAUGGUUUAGUGGUUCCCUUGGCAGUGCAAGGUUAGUGGUUGGACUUGAUGAUCUUAGAGAUCCUUUCCAACCUAUAUGAUUCUAUGAUUCCUCUUUUGUACCAUUAAUUAAGGAACACUCUCAAGUAAAUGCCAAAAUGGUGUAAAUAAUCUAAGUUAAAAGGAGGGGGAAAUUAAACAUGAGGUAAAAUGACUUCCUCAAAGCCAUGCACAGAACAUGUGCCAGAGAGGACUAGUCCUGACUCCAAGUCAUAUUUUCAGGCCAUGAACAGACUUCCUUUCUUCACAUGAGAUUAAAGUAUAAUGGUGGAAUAUCUCUUUUAGGUAGCAGAAAUACUUCUUUCAUGCUUGAGUUUGCCAGAUUGUUGCAUGUGAUUGAUGAAAAGCUGGAGGUGAUAUUCCUAACCACUGAAACAGCAGAAUCCUGAAGGGGACAUCUUUGUCCAUCAUCUUCGAUACCUACAGCCUGAUUUUCUUCUCAUUCAGUUUAUACAACCUUAAUUCCUCUGAACACAUAGAAUUAAAGCAAGACUGUAAUGUGCUUUGGCCUAGACUCUGGGGGAAAGCAACUCUCCAGUGUGCACGGGAAUUAAGUCUUGAUGACUUGCUCAGUCCUCGUGCUGACUCAGAGGUGGACAGGCAACAUGCCGAGAAAGUAUGAAGGGUGGGAGUUUUGAAAUGCCUUGGACUAAUUUCCCUUUUUGGUUAAAUCAGUGUUAAAACUACAGUGCAUUAGGAUUAUCCCAGAUUUACUGAACAAAAAGGUCAUGUGUCACCCUUUCUGUUUUUUUCUUUGAUAAAUCAGCAGAGUUUUGUUUUCAUAAUGAAUGUUAAAACCUAAAAAAGCAUACUUCAGAACAAAAAAGCAGCUUUUUACAAGUAUUUCUACCCUAAGAGCAGGCUCAUAGAAAGUAAAAACUGAAAGCCAUGAGCCCUCUGCUCAUGCUAGAAAAUGUUUAUUAACCUGCAUUUGUGCUUUUUGUAGAUAUUUAUAAAGAUUACUUUGGCUCUGUAUUGAUGACCAUUUCUAAUAAAAUGUCAAAUGCUCUCCAGA
Pezoporus occidentalis (night parrot) is the source of this 8065-nucleotide long non-coding RNA. RefSeq lists it as uncharacterized. The transcript is spliced from 2 exons. The record is from RefSeq and is a predicted model, not a curated record. Lineage: Eukaryota; Metazoa; Chordata; Aves; Psittaciformes; Psittacidae.